Molecule: ribosomal RNA, 2682 nt
Filed under: Klebsiella pneumoniae
Lineage: Bacteria; Pseudomonadati; Pseudomonadota; Gammaproteobacteria; Enterobacterales; Enterobacteriaceae
Description: bacterial LSU rRNA
Rfam family: Bacterial large subunit ribosomal RNA
Source: RNAcentral
AGCCGGCGAUGUCCGAAUGGGGAAACCCAGUGCAAUUCGUUGCACUAUCGUUAACUGAAUACAUAGGUUAACGAGGCGAACCGGGGGAACUGAAACAUCUAAGUACCCCGAGGAAAAGAAAUCAACCGAGAUUCCCCCAGUAGCGGCGAGCGAACGGGGAGCAGCCCAGAGUCUGAAUCAGCUUGUGUGUUAGUGGAACGGUCUGGAAAGUCCGACGGUACAGGGUGAUAGUCCCGUACACCAAAAUGCACAGGCUGUGAACUCGAAGAGUAGGGCGGGACACGUGGUAUCCUGUCUGAAUAUGGGGGGACCAUCCUCCAAGGCUAAAUACUCCUGACUGACCGAUAGUGAACCAGUACCGUGAGGGAAAGGCGAAAAGAACCCCGGCGAGGGGAGUGAAAAAGAACCUGAAACCGUGUACGUACAAGCAGUGGGAGCACCUUCGGGUGUGACUGCGUACCUUUUGUAUAAUGGGUCAGCGACUUAUAUUCUGUAGCAAGGUUAACCGUAUAGGGGAGCCGCAGGGAAACCGAGUCUUAACUGGGCGUUAAGUUGCAGGGUAUAGACCCGAAACCCGGUGAUCUAGCCAUGGGCAGGUUGAAGGUUGGGUAACACUAACUGGAGGACCGAACCGACUAAUGUUGAAAAAUUAGCGGAUGACUUGUGGCUGGGGGUGAAAGGCCAAUCAAACCGGGAGAUAGCUGGUUCUCCCCGAAAGCUAUUUAGGUAGCGCCUCGUGAAUUCAUCUUCGGGGGUAGAGCACUGUUUCGGCUAGGGGGUCAUCCCGACUUACCAACCCGAUGCAAACUACGAAUACCGAAGAAUGUUAUCACGGGAGACACACGGCGGGUGCUAACGUCCGUCGUGAAGAGGGAAACAACCCAGACCGCCAGCUAAGGUCCCAAAGUCAUGGUUAAGUGGGAAACGAUGUGGGAAGGCACAGACAGCCAGGAUGUUGGCUUAGAAGCAGCCAUCAUUUAAAGAAAGCGUAAUAGCUCACUGGUCGAGUCGGCCUGCGCGGAAGAUGUAACGGGGCUAAACCAUGCACCGAAGCUGCGGCAGCGACACUAUGUGUUGUUGGGUAGGGGAGCGUUCUGUAAGCCUGCGAAGGUGUGCUGUGAGGCAUGCUGGAGGUAUCAGAAGUGCGAAUGCUGACAUAAGUAACGAUAAAGCGGGUGAAAAGCCCGCUCGCCGGAAGACCAAGGGUUCCUGUCCAACGUUAAUCGGGGCAGGGUGAGUCGACCCCUAAGGCGAGGCCGAAAGGCGUAGUCGAUGGGAAACAGGUUAAUAUUCCUGUACUUGGUGUUACUGCGAAGGGGGGACGGAGAAGGCUAUGUUAGCCGGGCGACGGUUGUCCCGGUUUAAGCAUGUAGGCUGGUUAUCCAGGCAAAUCCGGAUAAUCAAGGCUGAGGUGUGAUGACGAGGCACUACGGUGCUGAAGUAACAAAUGCCCUGCUUCCAGGAAAAGCCUCUAAGCAUCAGGUAACAUCAAAUCGUACCCCAAACCGACACAGGUGGUCAGGUAGAGAAUACCAAGGCGCUUGAGAGAACUCGGGUGAAGGAACUAGGCAAAAUGGUGCCGUAACUUCGGGAGAAGGCACGCUGGUGUGUAGGUGAAGUCCCUGCGGAUGGAGCUGAGACCAGUCGAAGAUACCAGCUGGCUGCAACUGUUUAUUAAAAACACAGCACUGUGCAAACACGAAAGUGGACGUAUACGGUGUGACGCCUGCCCGGUGCCGGAAGGUUAAUUGAUGGGGUUAUCCGUAAGGAGAAGCUCUUGAUCGAAGCCCCGGUAAACGGCGGCCGUAACUAUAACGGUCCUAAGGUAGCGAAAUUCCUUGUCGGGUAAGUUCCGACCUGCACGAAUGGCGUAAUGAUGGCCAGGCUGUCUCCACCCGAGACUCAGUGAAAUUGAACUCGCUGUGAAGAUGCAGUGUACCCGCGGCAAGACGGAAAGACCCCGUGAACCUUUACUAUAGCUUGACACUGAACAUUGAGCCUUGAUGUGUAGGAUAGGUGGGAGGCUUUGAAGCGUGGACGCCAGUCUGCGUGGAGCCAACCUUGAAAUACCACCCUUUAAUGUUUGAUGUUCUAACGUUGGCCCCUUACCGGGGUUGCGGACAGUGUCUGGUGGGUAGUUUGACUGGGGCGGUCUCCUCCCAAAGCGUAACGGAGGAGCACGAAGGUUAGCUAAUCCUGGUCGGACAUCAGGAGGUUAGUGCAAUGGCAUAAGCUAGCUUGACUGCGAGCGUGACGGCGCGAGCAGGUGCGAAAGCAGGUCAUAGUGAUCCGGUGGUUCUGAAUGGAAGGGCCAUCGCUCAACGGAUAAAAGGUACUCCGGGGAUAACAGGCUGAUACCGCCCAAGAGUUCAUAUCGACGGCGGUGUUUGGCACCUCGAUGUCGGCUCAUCACAUCCUGGGGCUGAAGUAGGUCCCAAGGGUAUGGCUGUUCGCCAUUUAAAGUGGUACGCGAGCUGGGUUUAGAACGUCGUGAGACAGUUCGGUCCCUAUCUGCCGUGGGCGCUGGAGAAUUGAGGGGGGCUGCUCCUAGUACGAGAGGACCGGAGUGGACGCAUCACUGGUGUUCGGGUUGUCAUGCCAAUGGCACUGCCCGGUAGCUAAAUGCGGAAGAGAUAAGUGCUGAAAGCAUCUAAGCACGAAACUUGCCCCGAGAUGAGUUCU